This 80-nucleotide ribosomal RNA is filed under the name Clostridioides difficile. Lineage: Bacteria; Bacillati; Bacillota; Clostridia; Peptostreptococcales; Peptostreptococcaceae. The record is from RNAcentral.
UUCCGAACACAGAAGUUAAGCUCUCUAGCGCUGAUGGUACUUGGUGGGAAACUGCCUGGGAGAGUAGGACGUAGCCACGU